RNAcentral lists this ribosomal RNA (440 nucleotides) under uncultured bacterium. Its description in RNAcentral is "partial 16S ribosomal RNA". It matches the Rfam family "Bacterial small subunit ribosomal RNA", at positions 338 to 795 of the family's 1533-position model. The record is from RNAcentral.
CCUACGGGGGGCAGCAGUGGGGGAUAUUGCACAAUGGGGGAAACCCUGAUGCAGCGACGCCGCGUGGGUGAAGAAGCGCCUCGGCGCGUAAAGCCCUGUCAGCAGGGAAGAAAAUGACGGUACCUGAAGAAGAAGCCCCGGCCAACUACGUGCCAGCAGCCGCGGUAAUACGGAGGGGGCCAGCGUUAUCCGGAUUUACUGGGUGUAAAGGGGGCGGAGACGGGGAUGCAAGCCAGGAGUGAAAGCCCGGGGCCCAACCCCGGGACUGCCCUUGGAACUGCGUGGCUAGAGUGCAGGAGGGGCAGGCGGAAUUCCUGGUGUAGCGGUGAAAUGCGUAGAUAUCAGGAGGAACACCGGUGGCGAAGGCGGCCUGCUGGACUGCAACUGACGUUGAGGCCCGAAAGCGUGGGGAGCAAACAGGAUUAGAUACCCUAGUAGUC